GAUCUUUCAGGGACAGAGGUGUGUUAUGUUACCAGCAGCUGUGCUGGUUCAUAGGCUUCAUCAAAUUCAAAACCAGGCUGGUUAGCUGUUUUGAACUCCUGAUAGCAGCAAGGCUUGAUCACAACCCCAUAUUUCUGAACAACACCUAGGCUGGGUUUGAAGUUUUAAGUGAAAUAAAUCCACUUGUUUCCCUCUGGUUUUCCAAGAGGGCCAUUCCCUUAGAGAAGUCCAGAAUCUUCUCUAGGUAGAAGUUGCAAGGCCAUAUCCAGCUGGCUUCUAUGGGCAGCAAUUAAGUAAAAAUUACCAGGGUGCUGAGUGCUCCAGUGAAGCCUUAGUGCUCUGAUGAGCCUCACCUGGGUCCCCUCCCCACCCCUCUGCUCCAUUUCAGCUCAGUCCCUCACCGUCUUCCCUUCUUUGAGCCUGGGGCUACCUGUGGGCCUUACCUGGAGGAUUCAAGUUCAGUAGUUGUGUGCUGGGACUCAAAUCCUAUCAUUCUUUCCUAUGUAAUAUUGCAAAUGUGAAGUUUGCAAGUGACUGCAGGCCCUCCUCAAAGGAUGAGAAAAGCUUCAAAGUCAGCCGUGCUGCGAAGGACCCUGAGGAAACAAGACCAACCAGAAGAGACUGAAGGAAAGCAGCCAUCUACUCCUGACUGUGGCUGCCUGGCUGUUACAAUUUAUCAUGAACGCAUCUCACUUCACUUUUGGCUUCUCUGACGGAAGGAACAGCCGGUCUCUGGGAGGUCAAAGACAUUAUUUUCCCUUCGUCUUUCUCAGUUUCCAGCACAUAUUUGUCACUUUGAAAAAGCAUGAAUUCUGGAUUUGAUGCACUUUAAUUGAUUUCACCCUCAACAAGUCCAACUGUCCAUCACCCUUCCCUUUUUCUUUCCUUCCCUCCCCUCCUCCCUUUUUCAUUUCUUUCCUCUGUCCCUUUACUUUGUGAGUGAUGUUUUCACCCGCCUGUGCGCUGAAGCCGUUGUGAAGCCCGUGACCCCAUCAAGGCUUACUGUCACUAGCCAUUUCUCUCGUUUUCCUCAUCCUCCAAGCUGAACUUUGGACGCUGAAUGAGAAUGAAGCCUCCAUAUAGGAGCACUGGUCUUGUAGUGUCUUAGUGAUGUGCUUCUUCGUUGAAGUAAAAGUGGCUGCUGGCAGUUAGUUAAACUUGGCUGAUAGGCUGCUUAUGUUUAGUCUGCUGUGUAGGUUUGGGAAUGAGGGAACUAAUAAUUAGGUUGUGAUAAAUAGGCAGUGGUAUUUAACAUCACUCGCAGCGGUGCUAUGGCAGAGAUGAAUGUGCCGUUUAUU
RNAcentral lists this long non-coding RNA (1298 nucleotides) under Anas platyrhynchos platyrhynchos (common mallard). Its description in RNAcentral is "lncRNA (ENSAPLG00000021461.1)". The record is from RNAcentral. Lineage: Eukaryota; Metazoa; Chordata; Aves; Anseriformes; Anatidae.